AUUGAACGCUGGCGGUAGGCUUAACACAUGCAAGUCGAACGAGUGGCGGACGGGUGAGUAAUGCUUGGGAAUCUGGCUUAUGGAGGGGGAUAACGACGGGAAACUGUCGCUAAUACCGCGUACCAUAGGAUGAGCCCAAGUGGGAUUAGGUAGUGGGUGGGGUAAAGGCCUACCAAGCCGGCGAUCUCUAGCUGGUCUGAGAGGAUGACCAGCCACACUGGAACUGAGACACGGUCCAGACUCCUACGGGAGGCAGCAGUGGGGAAUAUUGCGCAAUGGGGGCAACCUGACGCAGCCAUGCCGCGUGAGUGAAGAAGGCCUUCGGGUUGUAAAGUUCUUUCGGUAGCGAGGCGUUAACUACAGAAGAAGCACCGGCUAACUCCGUGCCAGCAGCCGCGGUAAUUC
This 405-nucleotide ribosomal RNA is filed under the name uncultured bacterium. RNAcentral's name for it is "partial 16S ribosomal RNA". It matches the Rfam family "Bacterial small subunit ribosomal RNA", at positions 30 to 526 of the family's 1533-position model. The record is from RNAcentral.